RNAcentral lists this ribosomal RNA (374 nucleotides) under Boophis marojezensis. Its description in RNAcentral is "partial 16S ribosomal RNA". It matches the Rfam family "Bacterial large subunit ribosomal RNA", at positions 2085 to 2623 of the family's 2925-position model. The record is from RNAcentral. Lineage: Eukaryota; Metazoa; Chordata; Amphibia; Anura; Mantellidae.
AAGACCCCAUGGAGCUUUAAACCCGAUGUCACCCAUUUUCCUCUACACCCUAAUAUUCAAUUUGGCCCUGCCCUGUCGGUUUUAGGUUGGGGUGACCACGGAGUAUAAUAUACCCUCCAUGAAAAAGGGAGUAAUAAUCCUUAUUAGAGAACAACACUUCUAAAAAUUAAAACAUUAAUUUAUAAUGAUCCGAUAUUCGAUCAACGAACCAAGUUACCCUGGGGAUAACAGCGCAAUCUGCCUCAAGAGCCCCUAUCGACAGGCGGGUUUACGACCUCGAUGUUGGAUCAGGGCAUCCCAGUGGUGCAGCAGCUACUAAAGGUUCGUUUGUUCAACGAUUAAAACCCUACGUGAUCUGAGUUCAGACCGGACUC